RNAcentral lists this ribosomal RNA (460 nucleotides) under uncultured bacterium. Its description in RNAcentral is "partial 16S ribosomal RNA". It matches the Rfam family "Bacterial small subunit ribosomal RNA", at positions 338 to 795 of the family's 1533-position model. The record is from RNAcentral.
CCUACGGGUGGCAGCAGUGAGGAAUAUUGGUCAAUGGACGAGAGUCUGAACCAGCCAAGUAGCGUGAAGGAUGACUGCCCUAUGGGUUGUAAACUUCUUUUAUAUGGGGAUAAAACGUUCCACGUGUGGGAUUUUGUAUGUACCAUAUGAAUAAGGAUCGGCUAACUCCGUGCCAGCAGCCGCGGUAAUACGGAGGAUCCGAGCGUUAUCCGGAUUUAUUGGGUUUAAAGGGAGCGUAGGUGGAUUGUUAAGUCAGUUGUGAAAGUUUGCGGCUCAACCGUAAAAUUGCAGUUGAAACUGGCAGUCUUGAGUACAGUAGAGGUGGGCGGAAUGCGUGGUGUAGCGGUGAAAUGCUUAGAUAUCACGAAGAACUCCGAUUGCGAAGGCAGUUCACUGGACUGCAACUGACACUGAGGCUCGAAAGUGUGGGUAUCAAACAGGAUUAGAUACCCUGGUAGUC